GACUCACGAUCUGUGUCACGCCCCGGAGCCGAUACCAAUUUCGGCCGGCCCGAGCACGUCAAACAGACGCCGAACGGACAGAGUUUUCCCUAUCCGCCCAAGGCUCAUCACAUGUACAAAUUCAAACAAGAAAUGCACUAGCGGAAACAUAUACAAAUGGCUUACACGAGGGUAAGCAAUAGCCAUUAGUGAAAGAAAGGAAAACUAAACAUUUAUAAGUACUAUGAUUCAUUUUUGAUCAUAUACAUUGCAUCUAUUUACAUUCAUGAUUCUUUGUACUUCAUUACACAUUGCAUCAUUUCUUUCUUACAUCACAUUUAUCUCAAAAUAAGCUUUACAUUCUUUUCUCAACAUCACUAGUCAUCAAAUACAAAAGAUGAACAUAGGGUACUCUACUAACAAAAUGUAAACCCA
This 414-nucleotide long non-coding RNA is filed under the name Ananas comosus (pineapple). RNAcentral describes it as "long non-coding RNA (ACOM_LNC039130)". The record is from RNAcentral. Lineage: Eukaryota; Viridiplantae; Streptophyta; Magnoliopsida; Poales; Bromeliaceae.